AGAGUUUGAUCAUGGCUCAGGAUGAACGCUAGCUACAGGCUUAACACAUGCAAGUCGAGGGGAAACGACAUCGAAAGCUUGCUUUUGAUGGGCGUCGACCGGCGCACGGGUGAGUAACGCGUAUCCAACCUGCCCACCACUUGGGGAUAACCUUGGCGAAAGUAAGACUAAUACCCAAUGACGUCUCUAGAAGACAUCUGAAGGAGAUUAAAGAUUUAUCGGUGAUGGAUGGGGAUGCGUCUGAUUAGCUUGUUGGCGGGAUAACGGCCACCAAGGCGACGAUCAGUAGGGGUUCUGAGAGGAAGGUCCCCCACGAUUGGAACUGAGACACGGUCCAAACUCCUACGGGAGCA
Molecule: ribosomal RNA, 353 nt
Filed under: uncultured bacterium
Lineage: Bacteria
Description: bacterial SSU rRNA
Rfam family: Bacterial small subunit ribosomal RNA
Source: RNAcentral